Molecule: small RNA, 27 nt
Filed under: Bombyx mori (domestic silkworm)
Lineage: Eukaryota; Metazoa; Arthropoda; Insecta; Lepidoptera; Bombycidae
Description: ovarian small RNA-8788
Source: RNAcentral
UGGCUUAUGAUCAGUAUAAAUCGUGAA